UUCGCAAUGCCCGAAAGGGUGACGAAGCGACGCCGCGUGCGGGAAGAAGGCCUUCGGGUUGUAAACCGCUGUCGGGAGUUAAGAAAUGUAAGGAUGUUAAUAGCAUCUUUGCUUGACUAAGGCUCCGGAGGAAGCCACGGCUAACUCUGUGCCAGCAGCCGCGGUAAUACAGAGGCGGCAAGCGUUGUUCGGAAUUAUUGGGCGUAAAGAGCACGUAGGCGGCUAUGUAAGUCGGUUGUGAAAGCCUUCCGCUCAACGGGAGAACAGCAUCCGAUACUGCAUGGCUUGAGUGCGGGAGGGGAGAGUGGAACUUCUGGUGGAGCGGUGAAAUGCGUAGAUAUCAGAAGGAACGUCGGCGGCGAAAGCGACUCUCUGGCCUAUUACUGACACUGAGUGUGCGAAAGUUAGGGGAGCAAACGGGAUUAGAUACCCCGGUAGUCCUAACUGUAAACGAUGGGCACUAAGUAGAGGGGUUUU
This 477-nucleotide ribosomal RNA is filed under the name Candidatus Brocadia fulgida. RNAcentral describes it as "bacterial SSU rRNA". It matches the Rfam family "Bacterial small subunit ribosomal RNA", at positions 365 to 832 of the family's 1533-position model. Lineage: Bacteria; Pseudomonadati; Planctomycetota; Candidatus Brocadiia; Candidatus Brocadiales; Candidatus Brocadiaceae. The record is from RNAcentral.